This 253-nucleotide ribosomal RNA is filed under the name uncultured bacterium. RNAcentral describes it as "partial 16S ribosomal RNA". It matches the Rfam family "Bacterial small subunit ribosomal RNA", at positions 524 to 776 of the family's 1533-position model. The record is from RNAcentral.
UACGGGGGGGGUAAGCGUUGUUCGGAAUUACUGGGCGUAAAGGGCUCGUAGGCGGCCAAUUAAGUCAUACGUGAAAUCCCUCAGCUUAACUGGGGAACUGCGUGUGAUACUGGAUGGCUUGGAUUUGGGAGAGGGAUGCGGAAUUCCAGGUGUAGCGGUGAAAUGCGUAGAUAUCUGGAGGAACACCGGUGGCGAAGGCGGCAUCCUGGACCAAUAUUGACGCUGAGGAGCGAAAGCCAGGGGAGCAAACGGG